GUGCCUGUAGCUCAGUGGUAGAGCACCGCUCUGUGGCAGCGGUUGCGCGGGUUCGAUCCCCGUCAGGCACC
This 71-nucleotide transfer RNA is filed under the name bacterium. Its description in RNAcentral is "tRNA-His". It matches the Rfam family "tRNA". Rfam says of the family: Transfer RNA (tRNA) molecules are approximately 80 nucleotides in length. Their secondary structure includes four short double-helical elements and three loops (D, anti-codon, and T loops). The record is from RNAcentral.